Molecule: ribosomal RNA, 253 nt
Filed under: uncultured bacterium
Lineage: Bacteria
Description: partial 16S ribosomal RNA
Rfam family: Bacterial small subunit ribosomal RNA
Source: RNAcentral
UACAGAGGUCCCAAGCGUUGUUCGGAUUCACUGGGCUUAAAGGGCGCGUAGGCGGACCUCCAAGUCCGGGGUGAAAUCUUUCGGCUUAACCGGAAAAGUGCCUUGGAUACUGGGGGUCUCGAGGGAGGCAGGGGCGGAUGGAACUUCCGGUGGAGCGGUGAAAUGCGUUGAUAUCGGAAGGAACGCCGGUGGCGAAAGCGAUCCGCUGGACCUCUUCUGACGCUGAGGCGCGAAAGCCAGGGGAGCAAACGGG